This 299-nucleotide unclassified non-coding RNA is filed under the name uncultured Coprinellus. Its description in RNAcentral is "sequence contains ITS2". The stretch from base 1 to 52 matches the Rfam family "5.8S ribosomal RNA", at positions 103 to 154 of the family's 154-position model. Lineage: Eukaryota; Fungi; Basidiomycota; Agaricomycetes; Agaricales; Psathyrellaceae. The record is from RNAcentral.
AACGCACCUUGCGCUCCUUGGUAUUCCGAGGAGCAUGCCUGUUUGAGUGUCAUUAAAUUCUCAACCUCACGCAGUUUUCUGAACUGCGUCGAGGCUUGGAUGUGGGGGUUUGUGCAGGCUGCCUCAGCGCGGUCUGCUCCCCUGAAAUGCAUUAGCUGAGGUUCAUACUGAGCUUCCGUCUAUUGGUGUGAUAAUUAUCUACGCCGUGGACAGGGUUCAGACUCGCUUCUAACCGUCCCUCGGGACAAUACCCAUGACAAUUUGACCUCAAAUCAGGUAGGACUACCCGCUGAACUUAA